RNAcentral lists this ribosomal RNA (650 nucleotides) under uncultured bacterium. Its description in RNAcentral is "bacterial SSU rRNA". It matches the Rfam family "Bacterial small subunit ribosomal RNA", at positions 55 to 751 of the family's 1533-position model. The record is from RNAcentral.
AUGCAAGUCGAGCGCUACCUUCGGGUGGAGCGGCGGACGGGUUAGUAACGCGUGGGAAUAUACCCUUCACUAUGGAAUAGCCUCGGGAAACUGAGAGUAAUACCAUAUACGCCCUUCGGGGGAAAGAUUUAUCGGUGAAGGAUUAGCCCGCGUAAGAUUAGAUAGUUGGUGGGGUAAUGGCCUACCAAGUCUACGAUCUUUAGCUGGUUUUAGAGGAUGAUCAGCAACACUGGGACUGAGACACGGCCCAGACUCCUACGGGAGGCAGCAGUGGGGAAUCUUGCACAAUGGAGGAAACUCUGAUGCAGCGAUGCCGCGUGAGUGAAGAAGGCCUUUGGGUUGUAAAGCUCUUUCGUCGGGGAAGAAAAUGACUGUACCCGAAUAAGAAGGUCCGGCUAACUUCGUGCCAGCAGCCGCGGUAAUACGGAGGGGGCUAGCGUUGUUCGGAAUUACUGGGCGUAAAGCGUACGUAGGCGGAUCAGAAAGUAUGGGGUGAAAUCCCAGGGCUUAACCCUGGAACUGCCUCAUAAACUCCUGGUCUUGAGUUCGAGAGAGGUGAGUGGAAUUCCAAGUGUAGAGGUGAAAUUCGUAGAUAUUUGGAGGAACACCAGUGGCGAAGGCGGCUCACUGGCUCGAUACUGACGCUGAGG